CAGGCUAGUUAUGCCUGGGGCUGGUAGAAAUUAAUAUAUGAAUUGUGGUCCCUGUCUUCAAAGAGUUUGCAGUAUUCGAAGAAAAUAUAAAAACGUUGAAAAUCAGAAAAUGAUUAUUGUAAUUCGGGAAGAAAAAAACAAUCCCUUAAAUGGAGGGUGAUAGGAAUAGUUUCCAAGGUUUGUGUUUGUUGCUUAAGACUUCAGAUCUCAAGAAGAUCCUAAUAAGAGAUCAGUGACAAUACAGAGUUGUUUUUGCAGCUCUGACAUUUUUCUUUCCGUGUUAGUGCAUAAUUUUCAGAGAAUUCGUCUCCCUUCUGGCCAUGGCCUCUCAAAUGUGUGUGAGUCCUGCCUGUCUGAAAACAGGCCAUAAUAAUGUCUACUUCCUGUGUAUUGUGGAAUAGUAUGAGCCCAAUAUGAGUUAAAGAAGCAACAGCAGCUGCUAGUGAAAAGAAAAAAGAGAAGAGAAAAAUCAGGGCACUAAAAAUGUGAAGAAAGCUUUGCUGAUAGUCACAGCUAGGCAGAGGUACCAGCCAGCAAGGUUAUCAGGCCCAGAUAGCAGAAUGCCUUUAGUCCAGAGAAAGAAAUUUCCUCCUCCAUAUUAGGUUAGUUCUGAUGGCGAGGAGGGAGGCUAAACCAAAACCAUGUUUGAAGGAAAUCAGAUGAGUCUGAUGAUAUAACAUACUCCCAUAAUUAAUAUAUCUUUUACAGUUAUUUGAGAUCAUUUUCCAAUUAAACCAUGGCAGUUAUUCCCUGAAUCAGUGGUGUUGGCAGGUUGUCAUCUAGGGUUGUUAUGGACAUGUGUGGUGAAGUUGCAGGUUAAAUGCAAAGAUCAGGAGAGACAAAUCUUGAGAACUCACCUGGAGCAAAUAACCAGAACCCAUGCUUGUGAUAGCACUGAAGACCAAAGAUCAGAUUUUCAGCCAGAAAGCUCAGAAGUUCUAUAUGACAAGGCCAUUAAGUUGAACAGGAAAUAGGAUAUAUAUGUCUAUGUCUGUAUAUGUAUUUAUACAGCAGAUACAAGUCAGAAACCAGGAGACAUUGACAAUCAGCCCUAGACAGAAAUGGGCUACACUUACUCUGAAGUGACUGGUUUGCUUGGUUGGCGAUGAUGUAAGAGCAGUUCUUAGCUGGGACUCAUGCAUUAGCAUUGCCUAUAGAGCCUUAAAACAUAAUGCACCGAGUGUCCAUACCAAGAGGAAGAAGGUCCAGUGCAGUUAGGGUAGGGGAGAGCAAGGAGGAUAAGAGCGCUUGUCUCCUGGAGACCUGAGUUUGAUCCCUGAAACCCACUUAGAAGGAGAGACAACACAAUUAUCCACACAAUUAUCCUCUGAUUCCACAUGCUUGAUGUUGUACAUCACAUAUAUCACGUGCACAAAUAAUAAAGUUAAAUUAGAAUUGAAUAGGCCCUGGUCUCCAUAUUUUAAAUUUUCUAUUCAGUUGAAUCUUAUAAUACUGAAAGCUCCAAUAAUCACAUGUUUAGGGCUGGCAAGAUGGCACAGGAGAUAGACAUUUGCCUCCUAAGCCUGGCAACUUCAACUUGAUUCUCAUAACAAUUAAUGGCAGAAGGAGAAAAUUGACUCCACCCGAUUGUUCUCUGACCUUCAUAUUUAUAUCAUGUGCUCCAUCACCCAUCCCAUAAACAUGCACAUACACAAUACUACAUGUUCAAUGUACAAGAAUAAUAUAUGCAUUUGGCCUCUAGUAGUAUUUUCCCAUAUCCUUGUAAUUACUGCAUUUGUUUUUUAAAAAAUAAAGAAAAUGCUGAAUGUGAUCACC
This 1776-nucleotide long non-coding RNA is filed under the name Mus musculus (house mouse). RNAcentral's name for it is "long non-coding RNA chr14:62762510-62764286". Lineage: Eukaryota; Metazoa; Chordata; Mammalia; Rodentia; Muridae. The record is from RNAcentral.